This is a non-coding RNA of Macaca mulatta (Rhesus monkey), 414 nucleotides long. Lineage: Eukaryota; Metazoa; Chordata; Mammalia; Primates; Cercopithecidae. The record is from RefSeq and is a predicted model, not a curated record.
UGCCAGCAGAAGACACAUGGUUUCAUCUGGCUGCCCUCAGAACACCUAUUUGUGAUCACAUGAAGCAACCUAUGAUUUCAAUGGCUUAACAACUGUCUUUCAUUCUUCUACUGAGGACCUCAGGCAGCAAUUACUAUUGACAGCAGAAGUGAAGUUAGGGGAAAAGACAAUGGCUCUUUCAAAGCAAGGACCUUUCUUCUCCAAGAGACAGCACAGAAGGAUCAAGCCUGCAGGAAAAUCAACCUUUGGAGGAAGAUGAACCAGCAAAGGAGAAGCUGAGAAGGAACUUCCCGGGAAGAAGAAGGGAACCUUGGAAUACAGAAUCUCAGAAACAAAAGAAGGACGUUUCCAAAAGGGGGACUUUCAUGGUAAAUACUGCAGAGAGAUCAAAUAAAAUAAUGAAAAUUGUUGACA